CCUACGGGAGGCUGCAGUGGGGAAUAUUGCACAAUGGGGGAAACCCUGAUCCAGCACCGCCGCGUGAGUGAAGAAGGUUUUCGGAUGUUAAAGCUCUUUUAGCAGGGAAACGAAAGGACGGUACCUUCAGAGGAGGCCACGGCUAACUACGGGCCACCAGCCGCGGUAAUACGUAGGUGGCAAGCGUUGUUCGGAAUAACUGGGCGUAAAGGAUGCGUAGGCGGUUAAACAAGUUAUAUGUUAAAUAUAUAGGCUUAACCUGUAGAAAGCAUAUAAAACUGUUUAACUAGAGUGCAGGAGAGGUAAGUGGAAUUCCUGGUGUAGCGGUGAAAUGCGUAGAGAUUAGGAAGAACACCAGUGGCGAAGGCGACUUACUGGACUGUAACUGACGCUGAGGCAUGAGAGCAUGGGGAGCAAACAGGAUUAGAUACCCCAGUAGUC
RNAcentral lists this ribosomal RNA (441 nucleotides) under uncultured bacterium. RNAcentral's name for it is "partial 16S ribosomal RNA". It matches the Rfam family "Bacterial small subunit ribosomal RNA", at positions 338 to 795 of the family's 1533-position model. The record is from RNAcentral.